CCUUUAUUAAUGUUCUUUUUUAUUGGACUAAAAUUACUUUUUUCAAAUCAUUUCUCUUACAAUUACAUUUCUCAAUUUCUUUGUUCAUUGUAUUGGACAAUGAAGUAGUGAUUGUUGUGGGUUGGCAUUUUUGGUGAUUGUUUGAUGAUUUGAAUUUCGUCAAAACAAUGUGUUGGAGUUAUGGUGGUUGUGGUUGGAUAUUAAUACAGUAUUGGGUGGUGGGUUUUUUGUUUCUGAUGGAUGUUAAGUGUGGAUAUUGCUUGGUAUUUCUUUUGGUUUGUUCGACGAUUCGGCGAUUUGAAAGUAGUCAAAACAGUGGUUGUUGGAGUUGUAGUGGUUGUGGUUGGAUGCCAAUUGAGGAUUGGAGAUUUGAGGGCCACAAUGAUGGAGUUGUAGUUGUUGUUUGUUUCUUCCAUUUUGAACGGAGAUGACCUGGUCUAAUAAAUGUAUCAAAAUGUAAUUUUACAAAAAAUUGAUAGAUCAUUUGUUAUUGUGGACGUUAGAGAUGGAAAGCUGUCUCUCUGUAGGUGCACGUUAGCAGCUUCACUGACAUACACACGCCAUGGGAAGAAGGGUCAAAACAUCAAUUCCACCUAAAAGAUCUGUAUGAAUCACUUUAGAGAAGGUUGAAAGUUUGGUGGUGGUACAGUAAUAAUAGUUGGGAGGAGUGUAGUGAUGAAAAAUAAUGAAAUAGUAACAAAGGUGAUGAGUCUAGUAGAAACUGAAAUGAACCCAGUAAUUGGGGAGGUGGGAUUAACUAAAGAUAUAGGUAAUUCGGUGAGCUUAGGUCCAAUUUUUGGUGGUGUCGAAGUUAGAUGUAUCAAAUUUAAGUCAAAAGCAACAUUAGAGAAGGAAAUCGUUCAGGAAUGGAAGGAUAUCAUUGCAUCACCUCAUUAGUGGGCUGAUGAGGUCGAACCUUCAACUAUGAAUCCUGAAAUCGAUCAAAUUACUUCUCCUAGGGAAUCAAUUUUGGACCAGUUUGAUGUCUCUAUGCUUAAAAAUUCAGAGCUUAAGCUGGAUUAUGUCAAACUUCAUAAGGCAUAGAGAUAUCUAUGGUGGACAUUGAAUAUGACGAUAUUAGCUCAGAGGUGGAGUACAUAAGGAAUUUUGUG
Molecule: long non-coding RNA, 1112 nt
Filed under: Capsicum annuum
Lineage: Eukaryota; Viridiplantae; Streptophyta; Magnoliopsida; Solanales; Solanaceae
Description: long non-coding RNA (CANN_LNC022367)
Source: RNAcentral